This 116-nucleotide ribosomal RNA is filed under the name Sporosarcina sp. P13. The record is from RNAcentral. Lineage: Bacteria; Bacillati; Bacillota; Bacilli; Caryophanales; Caryophanaceae.
UUCAGUGACGAUAGCGAAGAGGUCACACCCGUUCCCAUACCGAACACGGAAGUUAAGCUCUUCAGCGCUGAUGGUAGUUGGAGGUUUCCUCCUGUGAGGGUAAGACGUCGCUGAUC